This 911-nucleotide long non-coding RNA is filed under the name Populus trichocarpa (black cottonwood). Its description in RNAcentral is "long non-coding RNA (PTRI_LNC001498)". Lineage: Eukaryota; Viridiplantae; Streptophyta; Magnoliopsida; Malpighiales; Salicaceae. The record is from RNAcentral.
UUCCAUAAGUAAACGCAAUUGAAUAUUCCAGCAAGUUUGUAUAUAAAAUGGUUUUAGUAACAGCAUAUUAGAGCUAUAGCAAGCCUUGUGUUAGGAGCAUAUAUCUUAGGAAAUUAAGAUGGCGAGAGAGUUCAUAGUUCAUGAUGGUAGUGUCCAUUCAGAAACAGGCUUCCUGCUUGAUUCCUCUGAGGCUUUUCUGUUGUUAUGCAUGAUUGUUGUUUCCUUGUCAAUUAUUUCCAUGGUCAUAUUCGCAUGUGGUGAUAGUGGUUCAGGCAGAGGUGGAGGCCGCCGCAGAAAAUCUGGAGGAGGUGGACGUGGUGGACGUGGUGGAGGUGAUGGAGGAGGUGGAGGUGGUGGAGGUGGUGGAGGUGAUGAAGGUGAUGGAGGAGGUGGUUGUGAAGCCAUUUUACACAUACAUCGAGCUUAAAUAGCUUUUAUAAAUCACUUUAAAGAAGCAUUUUGUGCAUUCAAGGUAUGCUAUAGUAUAAAUCUAUGAAGUUAACGAAUAAAACAUAUCUUUUUAACAAACCAAUAGUUAAGAUUAAUAAUCAUAUUAUUUAAAUCAUAUCGUUUACAUUUUAGUUUUACUUAUUGACUAGAAUUCCUUGUAUCCUAUUAUAGCUUGGUUUAAUUCUUAACAUUAACAAAACCUUAUCAGCCUUGGAAAAAUACCGUAAAUAUGUAUCCAUUCACAUUAUUUAUUGAAAUAGCACAUUAAUGUUUUUGCCCUUCGAACAAAAAAUAUUAAAUUGACUAUUGGGGCAGUGAUUUCUUUCUAGAAGACGUACUAAUCAUUACCUAAAUUAAUUAAGAAUAAAUAAAUUUUUAUCCAUUUUAAAAGCACAAUAAAACAAAAAAAAUGAUCCUAAAAGCAAAAAAAUAAAAAUAAAAUUGAUGUUCAAGGGUUUUUU